Zingiber officinale is the source of this 563-nucleotide long non-coding RNA. RefSeq lists it as uncharacterized. The record is from RefSeq and is a predicted model, not a curated record. NCBI's taxonomy places the organism in Eukaryota, Viridiplantae, Streptophyta, Magnoliopsida, Zingiberales, Zingiberaceae. The transcript has 3 exons.
UUCUUCUUUUUCUCCCGAAAUCCUUUCUUCCUCUCGUUCUCGCGUGCGACGGCGUCGGCGCUACUUGGUGCGAAGACGAAGCCGAACUUAGGGCUUCACUCCGGCGGCCGACGAGCACCCUUCUCCACGGGUUCUUCACAGAUCUGAGCUCCCCUCGGCAAGGAAGACGCGCGGACACAAGGAGAACUCUAAGACCGUGAGCUUCUCGUCGAACCCUAGCCACCCCUCCCUCUCGGUUGUAAGUCCAAGCAAUCAAGGAUAAAGGAAAAGCUAAGAUAUGAAGGGAGGCGACAGGGUGGUGGUGAUGAUGGAUGUGUGUGGUGACUGAACUAUGGAGAGGUAGUAGGUAGAUGAUAUGGAGUUACUUGGAGUAUGCUGCCAGUCGGUCCCACUUCCCACGUUUCAUCCGAGGAUCCUUAUCGGUUUUUAGUCUUUUACUAUUAGCAUUUUAUGUUUUGUGGAUUUGAUGUUGUUAUAUCAUACUAUGUCUUGAUACGUGUAUUGUGGACUUAUACCUGUGGUGUGUUUUGUGGACUUUCAAUUUUUGUGGGUUUCAUAUUCGU